Molecule: long non-coding RNA, 653 nt
Organism: Dendronephthya gigantea
Lineage: Eukaryota; Metazoa; Cnidaria; Anthozoa; Malacalcyonacea; Nephtheidae
Exons: 4
Source: RefSeq, a predicted model, not a curated record
UAUAUACCAAUCUUCAAUUUCUAGUAAUCCAGGAAUUAUUGUAUAAUGAUUAUGAGUAAACUUCAAUAGCCUUCAUAUAUAUUAGCGCUCUAGAGAAUCAAAGGAAGUUCAUCAAUGCAACCCUUCCCCGAAUAAGGGAAGCCUUUAUUUCUCCGCUUAUAUAUGAGUCUACCAUAUUAUUUUCUAUUUCUGCACGUUUCAUUCCAGGCUGUGCACGGAGUUGGUCGUGUUGUAUUCAAUUCACAAACCUAUGGCCUUGACAAGUCUCAAGCAAGCAUGCAAAUUAUGUGAACGCUGCAUGAAUGUGUUUCAGUGAAAUUGAUGCAGUGAUUUUCGGAUUGCUAUGCAUGUUUCCAUAUUUCUUGCGUACCAGUCGUCCUCGGUAAACUGAAAAUUUAGAAAAAGAUUUAUCCAUUGAAUUACAAGAAUACGACAAGUGAAGGUUAGACGUACCGAAGUCGACCAGUUUGACGCUAGCGUUGCUCGUCAGCAAGAUGUUCGCUCCUUUGAUAUCCCGGUGCAUCACAUUCUUCUGAUGAAGAACUUCCAAACCCUUUUGAUGGAAAAGAUCUGCAGUCGCCCAACCGGCAUACUUAAACCGUUUGUUUGUCGUUGCCAAGGUUCUGUAGAUCGCCGGCUGGUGAAUAUCUUGG